UACGAAGGGUGCAAGCGUUACUCGGAAUUACUGGGCGUAAAGCGUGCGUAGGCGGUUCGUUAAGUCCGUUGUGAAAGCCCUGGGCUCAACCUGGGAAUGGCAGUGGAUACUGGCGAGCUAGAGUGUGAUAGAGGAUGGUGGAAUUCCCGGUGUAGCGGUGAAAUGCGUAGAGAUCGGGAGGAACACCAGUGGCGAAGGCGGCCAUCUGGAUCCAACACUGACGCUGAGGCACG
Molecule: ribosomal RNA, 233 nt
Filed under: uncultured bacterium
Lineage: Bacteria
Description: partial 16S ribosomal RNA
Rfam family: Bacterial small subunit ribosomal RNA
Source: RNAcentral